This is a non-coding RNA of Peromyscus maniculatus bairdii (prairie deer mouse), 2405 nucleotides long. The record is from RefSeq and is a predicted model, not a curated record. Lineage: Eukaryota; Metazoa; Chordata; Mammalia; Rodentia; Cricetidae.
AGAAGACCUGUCAUAUUUCUCUGAAGAGAAAAACUGAAAUCAGGCCCCCGACUUCCCUUCUGGACCAGAGUUCACACUGAUGAGGGUAAUUAACAAUUUCUGUGACCUUUUCAGAAGGUCCACUGGUUUUAUAAAUGGAUAGACUUGCUUCCCACUACAAACAGCCUGAUAAAAAGAACUGGAAACAGUGAGGCUAUUUCAGCAAAUAAUCUUGAAGAACAUUAGUUCAUGAUUGAAACAGUUAAAAUAGCAAAAAUGUAGACUUUUAAUCUGACUGCUAUGGAGUGUAAGGAGGCUCAUUCCCACUACAGAAACUCAACCUUUUAAGCAAAUAAUCUCAAGCCACCUACCAAAGUGAAAAAGCAAGUAAAAUCCUGCAGGUUUAAGUGUCUCAGUAUCUAAAGCCACCAGGGGCACAAGGAAUGUUGCAUUGCAGCUAUUUUUUUUUUCUAAGCUUGUCUUGGCUUUGGCCAUUAUGGCUGCUACAGUGACCUAUAGAAGAUAUUGGACAUCAAUCAAGACAAUGAAAUGAGCAGAGAAAUACAUCUGGCAGCUGGCAAUGUAGUGGGAUUGGGGCUGUCAGCAUUCCGCCAUGGGAAGAGGGGGAGUCAUCGGACUCUCAUCUGAGGUUAUCAUCAUACUCUUCUCCUGAGCAGCUUCUCUUGGUGUCAGGGAGUGACAGAGGACAUCAAGGAGUGGUGGAACUCACUAGUGACAUGUUUUGUAAGUCUUUAUCUAUACAGGGAAUGGAAUAUUUGAGUGAUGUAGUUGUCUCUUAAUUACCCAUUCUCCUGUAAGAAAUCCCAACAAACCUAAUAAAGUCAUUAUGUAAAGCUGAGAAUGGAUUUCUCUCAUUGUUCUAUUGGCACUCUCUCUAUCUGGGCAUAUUGUUUAUGACUCCCUCUCAGAAGUCAUUCGACUAUGAUGUGUUAGUAUGUUCAUUGUUCUAUAUGUGUACACUUCAGAACUGCGAGCAUGUUCAUUGGGCAGCUAAUGCAUCUGUGGACAGGAGUGUUAGUGUUCAAAGGUAGUAGUGAUGAACAGUCUCACUAAACAACUUACAAUUAGAUUGUAUCUGUAUCUAUCUGAUUUUCAGAUCCAUCACCAAAUAAAGUGACCCAACAAGGCCAGAGUAAGGUUUAAGUCAUCUCUGAUAUAGUCAGUUAUUGUUUGAUUUUACAUUUGAGGGUUUUUCAAAUAUAGGUGACCUUGCUAUUUAUGUUGAUGAACAAGCAGAAUGAAGAAGUAUUUCUAUUUGUUAGGUAGCUAGCUAGAUAUUGGCAGGCUUGAAGAACACUGGUGCUGAAGGCCACCCAUGCCAUACCAUAACCAAUGUCUUGAUAAACCAAGUGCUAGGAUUUCAGUACUCUUAUUAUUGACCAUAAGAGGGAGGCCUAAGUAAUAUCUUUGUCCUUGGGAAGAGAUACUUCAUGUUGAACUUUCCAGGUCUUUAACUGAUAGCUAUCUAAACCUGGUUCCAGGAACUUUAUACUUUAUAAGACGACUAGCUAGUGGUUGGUGUUACAAACACUGCCUUCCAGAAAGAAUCAAUCAAAAUGGGUUGGGCUGUCACUCGGACAGGAAAAUGCUCCACAGAGAGGCUAUCUCUUCCAGAUAAAAUGUAAUUCAGCAGAAUGAUUCCUUUGGUCCACAGCUCACACACUUGUGGGGAAUGUGCUGUUCUCAGCAAUGAACUACCUAUCUUCUAUGCUAUACUCUGUGUCUAAAAUUCAGUGUUGGUCAAGGAAUGAGAAGCUGGGGUAUUAAGAUAGGGGCAAAGGAAGAUCCUGGUGACAGUCAUCAGUGUCAUGUGGAAACAUUUUCCCAGAUGGAAACAGUAUUUACUCUCCCAAUGUUUUACAUAUAAAGAGUAGGAACAUUGUAUUUGUAUGUAAUUAUUUGAUUACUUAUGAACAUUACUAUUCCAGAUACUUGAUAUUGAAGUCAGUGAGAGUAGUCUUAAGUCCUACCUUUAGCUCUGUUGUCCUUGGCAUACAGAUAGACUUACUAUUCAUAUAAACCCAAAAGAAUUCAAGGGCAAGAGCCUGCAGUAGCCAGAGAAGGGACAAUGCUUAUCUGGAACUCCACUGCUGUGAAAACAUUUGCCAUGAUUUCUCCUUAUGAUGAUAGAAUUUCAAUAUUAUCCUCUCUAGAAAUUGCAUAAAAAUAUUCUGUGUUUCCAGUCAAUACACAUUUUUACAGACAAACCCUUUCUCAUCAUACUUUCUUAUUAUACUCUGCAAAAAUGACAGAUUACUAACAAGAGUUAGGGAGAAUUUGGAAAUAAAUUACCAGAAUUGGUGAUAAAUUCAAACAAUGCUGUAAAACCUCCGUGAGUUCCAGGUGACACCAAUAAAUCAAACUGAAAAUUGUAUUCCUGUUCAACAUGUGUAUUAAUUCCACCA